Cyprinus carpio carpio is the source of this 452-nucleotide long non-coding RNA. The record is from Ensembl. Lineage: Eukaryota; Metazoa; Chordata; Actinopteri; Cypriniformes; Cyprinidae.
AAUGGGUCCUCAGCUACACUUCAGCAGCACCUACUCAGAGGAGUUCAGUUACCCGGCUCGGGUCAAACCCACCCGGCCCAGACCGUCCUCUGCAUAUCGCAGGAACAAUCCUCAUCCACAACCGGAAAUAUUCAGAAACAGAUCAUAUCAGAUCAGCUUGGAACCAGCAGAUGGAGAUCAUGCCAUCUUUAAAAGCCUUCAAACACCAGGGUACCCAUCAUCAAAGAUCGCGCUCAAAAUCCACUACUGAUUGCAGUGAAGGAAACAGCUGUUUCUAUGUGGUGAAGCCAUAUAAAGUCGGACACUACAUCAUCCACCCAGAGUUUGUGUCAGAAGCAAAGCACUACUAAAAGCCACAUUGUUUGGGCAUUUUAUAUCUAUUUUUUUUUCCCAUUUAUUGUCAGUUUAUAAAUGUCAUUUUACAGUGUAUUAUUGAGGUACGUUAUGUGUUU